Long non-coding RNA from Rosa rugosa (rugosa rose), 653 nucleotides. RefSeq lists it as uncharacterized. The transcript is spliced from 4 exons. The record is from RefSeq and is a predicted model, not a curated record. NCBI's taxonomy places the organism in Eukaryota, Viridiplantae, Streptophyta, Magnoliopsida, Rosales, Rosaceae.
AAAAAAAAAAAAAAAUGGGGAAAGUGUUCAGGUCGCUGCUGUUUGCGUCAUAUCUGCUCCCACCGUGUCUUACCUUCGCUUCCUUCCAAGGGCGUAAACGUGCUGAGGAAAAUUUGAACAGGCUGAUGGAGAAGGAGAGACGUGAGGAGCUCUCAGAUAAGUGAAGCCUCAUCUCUGGAUAGCAGGACAUAAUUUGGUUGGUUGUCUACAAUUUGUAAGAUAUGUAUGUUUAGGCACAAAUGGUUCUUGAUAUAGUUUAGAAUACAUGAAAUGCAAAAACAUUUCAGUGAACUCACAAGGCAGCAAUAACAGUUCUAGAAGGGAGAGUGUGCAGGGGAGACUUGAGAAAUAGAGGAAGAGGAGGAAACUACUGAGAGAAUUGUUCGACUCAAACAUUAAACCUGAAACCAAGUGAUGAAUAUUACAGAGCCCCUGACCUAAAGAUGUAGUAGUAUAGGCUUAUGUAGUUGAGCAUAAAGCUGUCUUUUGUAGUAAUGUAGUUAUGAACUCCAAUGUGACUAUGGAGUUAAGUUGAAGACUUGCAGAUUUGGUGUAGAGUAACUGGAUGCAGAGCCCACUUGACAUGAUCUUUCAUUUGAGUAGCUAGAUGACUCUAUUAUAAUUAUAAUUCAUGAAGGACUAUCUCAAAGUUA